Molecule: long non-coding RNA, 2605 nt
Organism: Varroa destructor (honeybee mite)
Lineage: Eukaryota; Metazoa; Arthropoda; Arachnida; Mesostigmata; Varroidae
Source: RefSeq, a predicted model, not a curated record
GUCUUCGCGCAGGGGAGUCCUCUUCAAUUUGGUAAGGGUGAUUCCCGAACCGUCCUAUAUUUUGCCCGUGAUAUGAUUGUACAGACCACACAGAGAAUACAGCCCAUAGGCAACAAAAAACGAGACGGGAGUAAUGCGCCCCCAAGUGCACCACGAGAAAACGUUGGAGCGAUUUAGCGUUGGAGCGAUCGGGCACGGAGGGGAACUCAAACAAAGAGGGGUCCGGUCAUGGUCAGGUGGUCACAGACCACCAGCCGGUGAAAUUAUAGACCACCCAUUCACCCAAGUUAACGGGGAAGAAAUUUAUGUCGAACGUUGUAUCGCGCCAGGAAGGGAUUAGCAAACAGAACAGGCAACGAGAGUGUCCAGUCACCGAUGUCGUUCGAAUGAGAAAGAAGCGGAACAAAAGGAAGAUGAUUGCGCCAAUCGAAAACAACAUGCCCGCCCACAUGCCACAUCAGGAUGUAAAAUGGCGGUGAUGAUGAUGAUGCGGAUAAGACGUGAGGUUUUCCGAUGUUUUAGUCAAUCAGUCAGUCAGUCAGUCAGUCAGUCCAACAAUAUGCAGCACAUAUAAGAUAUUAUAUCGCCAGUUGGCGGAUAGUAGUAAUCGUUCAUUAUGUUUUUUUGAUGUUCGAUGAAUAUUUUUUUGAAAGUUUGACAGUAGUAGUUGUAGAAAUGAUGUUUUAGCCAUUUUUUUCAUUCAACGUGUAUUCCGGUGGUAUCAAAAAAUGAAAAUGAGUUGAUGGAAGCCAUUUGGCAGAGCCAUGCGCAAGCGAAUCAUGCAAAGGGGUUAGGGAAAGGAAAAAACACAAGCAAUUUGUUAGUAAAACUGUUAUUAUCAUUACCAUAACCGUCAUUAUUAAACAUUUACCCUUGAUUCACUUGGUGUUGACGCUUAGUUCUUUGUUUCGUCGUCACAUUCGAAACGACAGUUAAUGAUCUUCCUGCUCAUGUCCCUAAUAUCAUUAGUAGGUGCUACCUAUACUACAGUGUGAUAGAACCAAUGACUACACACUUCCCGCGCUCUUGAUCCUUCCAUUGUAACACAAUCAAGUCACACUAUAAACGGGUAAAGAAGCGCCUUAAAAACUACACCUAGGCUUAUUCUCCAUCUACCCGUAACUGGCGAUAAAUCGAUGCAUAGAGCUCCAUUCACGUGGCUUUCGUCCACAGCCGUUCGUACCCUACUGUGUUUUUGGGUGCGUUUACGCCUGUUUACGAUGAUGUUCAAGUUUGCGCAUCACGACGAAACGUAUGGCAUAAGUUAUCGUUAUAACUAAACUGGGCCGUUUGUUAUUCGAGCUAACUUCGUUUUGAUCAAUUUAUUAAUAACUAUUAGUUCAGUCAAUGUCAUCGUUGGCAAUAUUAGUUCCUGCUUGAAUUAUGUCUCUAGGUUGCUUGGCUGCGUGUGAAUUCUGUGAGUUGGGCUGGGUAAUUAUAAGAGGUUAUUAUAUAUGAGCCUAUUGGUUAAAUGUUGUAUGUGGGUGUGGAAAACAAGGACAUCAUGUCUAUAUAUAAUAUCAGUUGAUUACGAAAGAAAGUCACGAAGAUACGAAUUAGUUCUAUUUAAAAAGCUGGUAAAAACAAUGCUACGGAGCCGAGUGGAGAGGGGCGGAAGCGGGAUACUGGGAUAAAGGGGAACAGAAAAUACGAUAUAAACUAAUGUAAAUUUGUUUGGAUAGUGGGAAAAAUGUGACCAGUACGACUAUAAUGAAAACAGUUACUUAGGACGCUGUAUUCGAUGUAAUUGAAUAACAACAACGAGAUGAGCUGGUCAACAGUAAAAAAACAACAAGAUACUUAGAAAGCCUAAAAUGGCUAUCUGUGUAUUAUACAAUGACGUGAAAAUGGCUGUACCAUUGUAAGUGACGGAUACACUAAUAGCUGAUAAUAGUGAGAAACGUGCCACUGGCAAUCAACAGACUUCCUCCAACAGCACAGCGCCUUCUAUGGCAUUCUGUGUAUAUAUAGAAUAAUGAUGCACGUCACGCAGGAGACUAUAGCGUUAUCCUCUAAGGGUGAACACUGUUCACUUGAAGUUUCCCACUGGGUGCUCGUGAGCGCGGGAGGCAUUCCCAGAUGCUGGCGUACACCCACCGAUCGCGCGACAUUGCCUCAUUCGCUGAUGAGGUCUUACAAGGAGUAAGCGUUAAUACGAAAGGCAUACUCUAAUAUUAACGUUUUUUCGCUGUUUUUCGUCUAGCCAACAUGGCCACCUGAACUUACGUCUUCAACCUGGGACCUUCUGAGAGACUCAUCAGGCUGGCUCCUGCGAUGGGCCCCGGUGCCUGCAGCUUUCAAGUCCAUGGGGAGCAUGACGGCGACCCCACCAAUAGGUUUCUGUGCGCAUGCAACGAAUACGCGACAAAACCAGUCAGAUAUAUGCUAAUAAAAACACAGUCCUUUUACAUGACCUCACAGAAUAUAUCGAAUCGUACUCCCUGAUAGAACGACACGCUUGAUCUGUCUGAUCUAUAUUGUACUUUCGUAUUGGCAGACAGCGAGCGAACGUGAAGAUGAGUCGAAGAAAGCGAGGCAAGGAUAGUAUACACACCUUGUUCUUUCCCUGUGGAUCUCCAUCAGCCGGCGUUGGCGAGGUUAGGUC